CCUACGGGAGGCAGCAGUGAGGAAUAUUGGUCAAUGGACGAGAGUCUGAACCAGCCAAGUAGCGUGAAGGAUGACUGCCCUAUGGGUUGUAAACUUCUUUUAUAAAGGAAUAAAACGAGGCACGUGUGCCUUUUUGCAUGUCCUUUAUGAAUAAGGAUCGGCUAACUCCGUGCCAGCAGCCGCGGUAAUACGGAGGGUCCGAGCGUUAUCCGGAUUUUUUGGGUUUAAAGGUAGCGUAGAUGGGUUGUUAAGUCAGUUGUGAAAGUUUGCGGGUCAACCGUAAAAUUGCAAUUGAUACUGGCAGUCUUGAGUACAGUUGAGGUAGGCGGAAUUCGUGGUGUAGCGGUGAAAUGCUUAGAUAUCACGAAGAACCCCGAUUGCGAAGGCAGCUUACUAAACUGUGACUGACAUUGAUGCUCGAAAGUGUGGGUAUCAAACAGGAUUAGAUACCCUUGUAGUC
This 460-nucleotide ribosomal RNA is filed under the name uncultured bacterium. RNAcentral describes it as "partial 16S ribosomal RNA". It matches the Rfam family "Bacterial small subunit ribosomal RNA", at positions 338 to 795 of the family's 1533-position model. The record is from RNAcentral.